This 58-nucleotide small nuclear RNA is filed under the name Castor canadensis (American beaver). Lineage: Eukaryota; Metazoa; Chordata; Mammalia; Rodentia; Castoridae. The record is from RNAcentral.
CUUAUCAUGGCCCCUGUGCAAGAAUGACAUUCAAAUUCGUGAAACAUUCCAUAUUUUU